CCCCCCCCAUCCCCCCGUUCCGCGUCCCUGGGACAACCCGCGCCCGGCGCUCCCCACCCCCCGGGGCCGCCCCCCCGGAGGCAGGGGCCCGGUCGGGAGGACCCGGGCGUUGGGCCGUCUCCCGGGACAGCCACGGGUCCGCCCGGGCCGCGGGACCGACGGCCGGGGGUCGGCGGCGGCCUCGCCGCGGGGGUGGCUCGGGGGUGAGGACGGGCGUCCGGCGGGCGACGGGGCACGUCUGCCCCGCAGGUGACACCGGAUCGUGCCCACGGAGGACGCGAGGCGUCCCGCGGGCCACAGGCCAUUCCUGAUCCACGGGUGACACAGGCCCACAUCCACGGGUGUGGGGCAUGCCUGCCACACAGGUGACACCAGGCCCCCGUCCCACAGGUGACACUGGGCCUGUGUCCCAUGAAGGGUUGGACUCGAUGAUCUCUGAGGUCUUUUCCAACCCAGUCGAUUCUGUGAUUCUGUGAAUGACAUCAGGCUCGUGUUCCAUAGGUGACACAGGCUCCCAAUCCACGAGUGACGCCAGGUGCAUGUCCCACAGGUGACACCAGGGCUGCAGGGGGUCGGGCAUUGCUGCCCUGUGUUCCACCACCUGUGGCCAUGCCCAGGCUGGCCCUGAGCUGCGUUGUGUCCCCCACGCUCCGCCAGCUGAUGUGACCAGCAGCAGCUCCAUCGGGUGCCCCGUGCGACACUUGCUGCUGAACUCAGGGUGAUCUUCAGUGUAAACGUCUCCCAGAUAAGGAAAACCCUUCCGCUGGCCUCUCCUCCUGCUUGCCUCUGCGGGAGACAGGGCGGCUGUGCUCGUCACUCCGUUGCUUCCACUGCUGCCUUUUUUUUUUUUUCCCUGUCCUUUAGCUUUUUCCCCGUGACGGGCUGGGUUUCAUUCAAGUAAGAGGCAUGACUCCUUGUCCCACAGGCCAAGGAUGAGACAAGCUCUGUCACUUUUCGCUGAUGGCCCUUCUGUGUGACAAGAGUCCCUGUUUCCCUUUGUGACAGCAGAGAGGAUGUUUGAGAUGCUCCAGCCACAGAACAGCAGCACCAAUAUCAGGGACAACAUCCUGGUCCCCAGUGCCCUUCUCUGCCCAGGAAUUCCCAGGAUGUUUUGCACCAUCAUAAAACAUCUCCCAUGUCUGAGCAAAGCUGAGUUCUGCUGGUUGGAUCAAAGUGAGAAAGUCCCAUUUCCGGCUCCUUGGGCAAACCAAUCUGUGAUGGGUUUUAGCAGCGGCUUCUUGCUGCAGCACCUUCCUGAAGUCCAGGUACCACCAGGAUAUUUUAAAUCCUUCCCAUCAUUGAGGCUCAAUAAAAUAGUCUGGACCAGGACAGCAGGUUCCAGAUGAGAAUGGGUCAGGGCACCACCUGAAGGUGGGGGGCUGGACCCCAAACCCCGUGAUGGAUGGACCAGGAAUGCAGCCAGAGCCACGGAUUAGACGCCUGGACACUAGCAGAUACCGAAGCCAUCAGUGCCCGUGUUUGCGUGUGCUGUGGGGCUGCAGAGGCACAGGGCACGGCCCCGCUGGGCAUCACAUCUGCUGAAGUGCUGAGAAACCCCAAAAAGCCUCAAACAGGCCCAGUCCCAGGUGAACAUGAGAGCUGGCUCUGGAGAGGGGAUGGUCAACCAGCCCAUGUCUUGCACAUGUCAUCCUGCCACACCUGCUCCACCGUUUCUCAUCCAUCUCGCAUCUCUGUUGCUCCUCAGCCUCCUUCACCCUUUCCUCACCUGUCCCAUUUCCACCUCCAAAGGCUGUUCCUGGUCUGUGGCUUUGCUCCAUGACCCCGCCCAGCUGCAGGUGUAGACACAGAGGCUGCGGAGACGUUUGCUGUGUGGAUCCAGUACUGCCACCUUGGGCAAGGGACCGGGUCCCCUCCUGUCCUCGUUUCCACCACUGCAGGAUUUCACAGCAAGGAACAUCUCCCAAGAUCCAAACUGACCGAGAAACCAGGUGCUCCACAAAUACUGAUUUGAAAAGCAGAGGGGUGAAAGCAGCAGAGGAAGUAAUUCUCCAUGUUAAUGUGAUUUUAAACCUUGUUUCUCUGAGGAUGAGAAGUACAGGGGUUCCUGCCUUAGAAACCCUGCUCUUCUGUUCCAUUUAAAAAAAAUGAACCGGCACCUGCUCCUGAACCAGGCCUGACUCAAAUAGAGUCACCGACUGUAACUGAGGAACAGAAAAUACGGAGAUGAUGGAGCAGCAAAGUUACUGAUGAAGAACAGAACGAAGCGUGAUGUACAAGUAAGAAGCUGUAGGUGCUUAUAAAGACCAAGCGUUUGUAAAGACCAACAUGCCAAAAAUAUUCCUAAGCUGGAAAUCUUGAGAUACGAAUAACUCCUGGUGUUGGCUGCACUGCUGCGAUUCAGACAGAGAGUGAAGUAUUGCAGUUUACAAGUCAGAUUUCAUUAAUGCUUUACCUUUCUCUGGAGACACCUAAAGCUCAACCUACCAUUAACAAAGCUCCGUUUCACCACUAGAAAGCCUAAAUCACCCGUACCUGAGCCAACACAAAGACACUGCAACUGAGUCACAGAAAGAAUAACUUGUCUCCUGCUGCCAUGUGCAAAGGAGGGCGGGACCUCGGCUACAGAGAAUUUAACUGUGGGACUGCAUUUGUACACCGAGUCAUAAAAGUCCAGGGUUAAAAGAAACGAGGGAAAAAAGAAGGAUGAGGCAACUAGGUCUAGGAAAGGGUUAAAUUCAAUGUCACUUUUACUCUGUCACAAUUACACUUUUACUCGGCUCUCAAAAAAUUACUGGAUUAGGCCAAUACAGUGGAUGAAAAUGGACAUUAGAAGUUUUAAUCCAAGAUUACUGUACCUGUAGCAAGAGAAACUCCUACACAGCCAUGAGCCUCAGCCUUCCUGGCAAGCCGCUCCUCCAGGUCUGAAGUACAGCAACACCUGUAACCACCUCCCUGCUGAGCCAACAGCCGCCGCAGCCUCAAUGUUAUGAGCUGCUAUGGAAAGCAGAAUAAAAAUCAUGUGUGUGUAUAUAUAUAUAUAUAUAUAUAUUUAUAUAUAUAAUCUGUUCCACACCUGGGAGCUUAUUGAAUCUCCUGUCAAGCUGCAGGAUGUGAGCUGAUGAUGAACAGAAAUACUUGUGGAAAGCUCACACCCCACACCUCACCCAAACACCUGGCCCAAAGAAAUGGACUUGCAGCCUGUGGCAGAUUCACAGGGGACACCAGGACAGACAGAUGGACGCAGGACAGAAACCAGCCCCACAUGCCACCAGGUGUGCCCACAAACCUCCUGCCCACCUCCUGAAGGAUGAAUCCCACCACUGACCCCAAUGACUUGGGGAUAAGUCUGCUUUUAAAAGUAGUUUAUUUGGAUUUUCCACAUCCUUUAAUGAAUCACAAAUAUAUUAACAGAAAAGACUUUUUUCCUAAGACUGUACAAUUUUUGAAAUAAAAAGUCAGGAAAAGCCCCUCCCCCCCCCCCCCCAAAAAAAAAGAGGAAAAAGACAAAUUACAUUGUUUCAAUGCAAAUAGUACACACCACACCCACACUUUCCAUUUUUUCAUAGUUUUGUUGUAAGAAAUGACAGUUCCCUAAUUCUUCCAGCGAACACUCCCGCUUGAACCCGGACGCCGCAGAACCUUCACGCUCACUGUCCUUCUAACCGCCCCUCUUCAAAGACAGCAACUUUUUAUCAAUUAAAUACUAAUUUUGUGUAUGUAUUUAGAAGGUAAAAUAGCAGCAUGGUCUAAAUGUUACUUGACAUUCUUGGGGAGGUGGGGGGGAAGAAAAAUCACUUUAAGGUACAAUGUAGAUAUAAAGCAAGGGACAGUUUUAAGUGAUAAAUCUUGCAGGUAGCACGAGUAUCCUUCUAACAUCCCAGCUGCAUUAAAAGCUCCUUGCAAGGUGUCGAAAAUUUUAUUACAAUUGUUCACGAUUUUUAGAGAACAAAAGGAAAGGGAAAAAGGCACCUAAUUUCCCAGAUCUCUGGUCCCCAUUUAAACAACAGCAUUUGCUAUGGAAAAGUCUUGAGAGUAGCACCUGCUUACGCGUGCUUUUUGCUUAAAAAAUACUUUGGGAACCAAAAGGAAGCCAAUUAACAAGUUAAUUGGUGGCAUCCACACAAGUGCUGCCUCCAGAUCUCGUGCUGAGGUGCUGCUGAGAAAUUCCUCCCCACAGGGACGGACACACGUGGGAGAGACAGACACGGGACAACCGGCAGGCGCUCGGCUGUGGGUCAGAUCAGCUCCGGGGAACCGGAGCCCCGUGUCCCCCGGUGCGGAGUCGCCCCGCAGCACCUGUCGCCACAGCACACCGCGCGGGGCCGGUGCCCAGGGCAGCUGAGCUCCGCAUGAUUUUCCAGUCCAUUCAAGAACUUCCAGACACAAGCUGAUCAGAACGAAGUGACACAGGCACAAAGCUCCUUUAAUAUAUUAUCAUUCCUCAGAUUUUAGAGUUUCCUUUUCACACUAUUAGGGGAGUUUAAGCCUGUUUUUCACUGCUCAUCCUCCCUCUGACUUCCAAAAGAAAAAAAACAAAACAAAACAAAAAACCAACACCAAACCAAACCAAGCAAACAACCCCGAGAA
Molecule: long non-coding RNA, 4548 nt
Organism: Columba livia (rock pigeon)
Lineage: Eukaryota; Metazoa; Chordata; Aves; Columbiformes; Columbidae
Exons: 2
Source: RefSeq, a predicted model, not a curated record